RNAcentral lists this ribosomal RNA (253 nucleotides) under uncultured bacterium. Its description in RNAcentral is "partial 16S ribosomal RNA". It matches the Rfam family "Bacterial small subunit ribosomal RNA", at positions 524 to 776 of the family's 1533-position model. The record is from RNAcentral.
UACGAGAGGCCCAAACGUUAUUCGGAUUUACUGGGCUUAAAGAGUUCGUAGGCGGCGCGGAAAGUAGGGUGUGAAAGCCCUCGGCUCAACCGAGGAAUUGCGCUCUAAACUACCGUGCUUGAGGAAGCUAGAGGUGAGCGGAACUGAUGGUGGAGCGGUGAAAUGCGUUGAUAUCAUCAGGAACACCGGAGGCGAAGGCGGCGUCCUGGACCAACACUGACACUGAUGAGCGAAAGCCAGGGGAGCAAACGGG